CAGUAGCCCGGUAAUACGUAGGGUGCAAGCGUUAAUCGGAAUUAUUGGGCGUAAAGCGUGCGCAGGCGGUUAUAUAAGUCAGAUGUGAAAUCCCCGGGCUCAACCUGGGAACUGCAUUUGAGACUGUAUGGCUAGAGUGUGUCAGAGGGGGGUAGAAUUCCACGCGUAGCAGUGAAAUGCGUAGAUAUGUGGAGGAAUACCGAUGGCGAAGGCAGCCUCCUGGGAUAACACUGACGCUCAUGCACGAAAGCGUGGGGAGCAAACAGGAUUAGAUACCCCUGUAGUCCCUGUCUCUUAUACA
This 301-nucleotide ribosomal RNA is filed under the name uncultured bacterium. RNAcentral describes it as "partial 16S ribosomal RNA". It matches the Rfam family "Bacterial small subunit ribosomal RNA", at positions 509 to 808 of the family's 1533-position model. The record is from RNAcentral.